Molecule: non-coding RNA, 26 nt
Filed under: Homo sapiens (human)
Lineage: Eukaryota; Metazoa; Chordata; Mammalia; Primates; Hominidae
Source: RNAcentral
UGAACAUUUUGAAGCUUGCUCCUGGU